AGAGAGAGAGAGAGAGAGAGAUUUAAUUUAUACAUAUUCAUGUUAUACAUUUACCAGUCACGAUAUACACAAAUGGGUAUAAUCACAAUAAAAAUCCUAAAAAAUACCAAUGAACUUUUAAAUUACUGGUAUUAGAUUCGUUUCCAAGAUUCAGGAUAUGGAGCCUUAGUCAGGGACUAAUGAACCAAAGAAACCUAAAAAAUAUCAUGGACUUCACAUCGAUGCCCAUCGAAAGGCCUUAUAGAUCCUUAAGGAUAUAUUAUCACAUCCAACCAUAAAAGAAUGAUCAAUGAGACUGUUUCUGGGAAAGUGAAGCUGAUUAAUGAAUCCAAGCACAACUUGGAACUUAUAGGUAUGAGGCUCUCAUAUGUUCCACCAUUUACGUUUCUCCAUUUGUUUGGCAAGUUCGCUUGCCAUUGAUGCAAAGUUUUCAGCCCCACUUUGCAGCUCUUCGGUGCGCAGACUGAGCCUCUGGGGUGGACAACAAAAAGUUAUGAAAAACUUGGUAAAAUUAAAUAACUCAAUACAGGAAAGUGUACAAUACACAAAUUUACUAGUAAAAGAAAAUUAAUUACGAUGAUGGCGAUGGUGAUGGUGAUUUAGUGUUUAUGAGGGUUGCUUUUCUUAGGUCAUAGUAAUAACUAAUAAUUUAUCUUAAGAGUGUUUGUUAAAGCCAUUCUAUAAGGUAUUCUUAACCAUAUUUCAAGGGCAUUAUUUGAAAAAUCUAGCCUUAAAGACAGCAUAAACUUCCAUAUGAAACUAUUCAUUCCAACAAAAAUAUAAAAGGAAGCCAAAAAAAAAAGACCUCAAGUUUUUCCCCACGUUCUGCAAGCUUGUCCCUUGCACGUGCAGCUGCAGCAGAAGCAUCCUCCUUCCUAUAUUUGGCCUUAAUUUCUUCGGCUGUUCUAAGUCUUGGCUUUGAAUCAGAAGUUGCACCCUCAAAUAAUCUUCCCCUUUCUGUUCCUUUAUCUUUUAUAUCUUUCUUACUCGUCUCUGAUGAAGGCAAGACAACAAGAGGUUCAUCAAUACUAAUGUCAUCUAUGUUUAGCUCCAAAACUUUCUGGUUAUCCAUGAUGUCCAGAGAAGGCUUUAAGAAUGGGGGACUGGAAAAUAUGGCUUGUAAAUGUGAAAAGUUAUUCUUGCAAACUUCAGGAAGAUCCACAUUGUGUUCCCCUUUACCAGCUUGGAGACCCUUAACGAAACCACCUAGAAUCCCAGAUGGAGCAACCUGUACGUUCUUCUGACUGGGACAUAAACUGAUAGGGGCCUCAGCAGCAGCGGCAAGGACUUUAUCAUGUAGGGUAGGCAAUGAUUCUGGAAUCCUGAAGAUAUUUUCGCUGGGCAGAAGAGAAACAGAAGCAAAUUCACACCCAUUUACCAGCAUAAUAUGUGCAGUGUCAGAUGAACACAUUGUCUUCUCCAUGUUAGUCUUAAAGUUCCACCUUAGAAUUGACAUUAUAAAGCUUUCUCCUACCACUUCAAGAUCUGACAAAGACCUGCCAAAUAUAAAUUUUGCUUCCAUUUGUACACUGAUUAAUUGAGCUCAAUGCACUAGUAUUAAGAUUGAUAAAGUACAUCAAUUUCCACUAGAGGUGAGAUACAACCAGGUUCUGCUGUUAACCAAAGGUAUGAUGAGUGCUUUACCUUAUUCCAAUCACACCAGUCCUAUAAGAGGACAAUGAACCACACUCUUUAUCAUCCCUCUUGAUGGUGGUAGUCCAACAACAUGGUUUCAAAGGAUUCACCUUUCAAAUAGCAUUACUAUUGCCCCAAAAUGAGAAAGUUUCAGCCACUGGAAAUUAGGGAUGCAUAAUUUUGCAAGUCAAAACUGAAAAUGGAUAAAAUCAAAGGCACCUCAUUAAGAGACUUCAUAGAGUAUUAAUGCAACUCAUCCUCGCAACAAAUCAGAAGAAGUAAAUUUUCUACUCUCUGCCUAGAAUAGGCAGUUUCAGCAGAGGUUUCACAGUCAACUUGAAGAAGAGCACUUCCACAGGGAGUGACACCCUGAUUAUGUUCAAUUUUAGUUUCACUCUUCCAAGUCCAGUCCAAGAAUCUUUUUUGCUGAAAACUACAGAGAUUAAGUUCCCACUCCAAAAUUCAUACAACUUGAAGGCAGCAAAGGAUAUCUAUUCUUCACCCAGAUGAAAAUACUUGCCUAUGAUAUGCAUAAAAAUUACAAUCAACUCCUUUUAAUGUUUUAUUGAUUGAGAGCAUACUUAAACUGUCAGUAUUGUAAUCUAUAAUGACAACAUGUGCAUCUUUGUUCAUAGGGAACACUUCCCACUUCACAAGAUCUGCCUUGCUUUUGGACUCACCGUGCUCUGGAUUACUUAUUGAGCUAAUAGCAUCUGAAAUGACUUCACAGCCAGAGACUUGACAGGCGAUGUAGAGUUGGAUACCAGUAAGAAAUAACACUGAUAAUGGACUCAUAUCAAGCAUUGCCACCUUGCCACAGUGAAAUCCCACAGCAAGUCUGGUUCCACAAUUUGCAAACUGUAUUAUGCAUAUUGGAGAACUGAGGAAGGAAAGAUAGCUAUGAAUUGAGGCCAAUCCCCUUUGUGCAACGUGUGGACUGCACAAUUACUUAAUAUGCAAUUAAAACUGGAAAAAAGCAAAACAGCCAUGCCCAGUUGGUCAAUGUCAUGAGGGACCAUAAAGUAGCUUUAAUCUAAUGUCAUUAGCAAAAAAAAUUAGAGAGUACAACUUCUCUAGAAUGAGUAGAAAAUAAAUUAGUUUUAAUUGUUAUACUACAAAUCACAGGUAAAGGAAAAUAAUAAAUGUCCUCAAACCCAUGUUGAACUCGACAACAAUUCCCUUUCGAGAUCUUACUGCAUAGUUUAAGUUUGUUGGAAGAUAAGCCUCCUACGUCCUACCAGAAACAAAAAUUGAAUAACAGAAAGAAAACCAAAACUUAAAAACACACACAAUACUCUCUCUCUCUCUUCAAUCUUCAGAAAGAAAUCAUGACGACUAUUCUUAAACUUCUUCACAAUAUCCAAACCUAGAGCACCAAAACUGUUAAGGUGGGGCAGCAUUUUCAUUUGAAUGCCAUUAGCAAAAAAUUUUAAUGGACUUCAACUUCAAACCCGGGAAUUUAGACUGGCAACUUUGGCUUUAAUUUCUAAUCAACCAAGCUGCUUAGAUGGCUCUAAUGAGUGAUUAGAAAAAUGGCAAAGAGUUGGUCCUUUCUGAAUGUAUAGAACUCUCCCCCACUGAUAAUACUCAUGAACAAAACUAAAUGAACUCAUAGUUUGACAUCAUAUGAAUACUCCCUUUCCCUGCUACAUGAUGGUAAAAGAGUCUUCAAGUGCAUUGCAUGGCCAUUACAGGUAAGUGGAUGAUAUCGUUGCUUUUUCUUCUCUAACUUCAGUCACAGAAAUGCGCACAGCAUGGUUAUAUAAAUAACCAAUGUGAGCGGUAAAACACUAAAACUAGAUAGGUAAGACAACCAUACUAUUGUAUUCUGCUAUAACAUGCAAGGUUUAAAAGAAACAGAAUAAACCAAAGCAUAAGUGGAAAGCCUUUUAAGGUUCGUAACAAUGGUAGACAACUAUCCAAAUUAAAAUCAAUUGACAGACUCCUAUCACACAUAACUAUUAAAGGCUGUAACACGACCAACAGCCAAUAUGACAUCUAGAGAUAUAAGAAACUCUGUCACCUGAUAGAGCUUUGGCAGAACAUUAUUCCUUCAAAAUUCUAAAAACCGUCCACAAAAGCAUGAAGUAUUGAUUGCUGAAUCAUCUAAAUGUUACAAUAAGUAUUAGUAACUCGAGCAUACAUGUUGAAAAGAAUUUUCACAAUCUUCCACAUUAGCAGGCACCCUUUUUUGUUAUGCCCUUCCAAGCAAUUCAAUGAGAACGUUUUUCUAAACAAGACAAACCAAUUGGAAUUUACUAAGAGGCGAAUAAUUAAUUCAUUCUCAACUUCCUAAGACAUUAUAUGUUCUAAUUAUAAAAAUAUAUUUACAAAUCUAGAUAGCUAUGUCACCUGUAUACUGGCUCCCAUAAGAUAAGCACACAUUCUUCUGAAGUUUGCAUCAAGUUCAACCAACUGUACAAGAAAUUACUUCAAAAACACGGUGAAUUCUCAUAUUGUCAGUUGAUUAAAAGCAAGAUUUGCCUUUAAAUAAGAUCUUCAAAAUACAAUUCCUCAACUAGGCCUCAAAUUUUCCUGAUGGAAUCCAAGUAUUUUCCCAAAACCACGUCCCUUAGUUUCUUAAGAAAAGCAUUUUGGCUCUUACUGACUGAAGACGGAAAAGGCAGCAUUUUGGCAACAAGAACAAAAUUCUCUCCAUUUCCAACAUCAAUUUCAUACAGCUCAUUAAAAAAACUCCCGGAAUUUAUGUAUUAGUGUAUCAUAGAAUGGCCUGCUUGGAGGAAUCACAUUGAUAAUAAGAAUUCCAAAAUCACAAAGAACAGAACUUGCAGCAAAAAGAAUAUGGCUCUGAAUAAGCUCCAUCGGAGGAGCACUGAUACCACUCAUGGCAUCACAGGAAUCCAAAUCAACCAUAAUAACGUCAAACUUAGUAUUGAAAACAGUUGCAUGGUUCAAAUGAUCUUCCUCAUCACUACAAGAAACCAAAUUUGAGGAACUGCCUCCACUAGCGAUUGUCUCUAAAUACUGUAUUGCGUCUCCUACGAAAACCUGAAUUUCGCAUUCUUGCAAUCCAAAAUACUGUCUUGCAACCCUUAAAACCUCCUCAUCCAUUUCCACACCAAAAACUUCAAAUCCGAAUUGGCUUCUCAAAAAACUAAGCAAAGCCCCACCUCCAACUCCUAAACACAAAGCUUUAGGCUUAUACCCAUUUUGAAUCCUAUCCUCAAUAUGAGGACCUACCAAGGACAGACCACUUACCAUUGGUAUCAAAUAUGGAUGCACCAAAACCCCAGUAUCAGGCCUAAACUGCACUUUACCACCAAUUCUUAUUCGAUCUAAAACAAAAUCUGGUUCAGGCACUAUUCGGAUCUCUGUUUGAAUCAAGUUCGGCAUUCUUUUAAACCUCAUUCUCCUCCUAAACUCUCGUUCUCUACAAUUAUCAUCCAAUUCACUGUGACUCUCUAUCUCAACAUCUUCAACAAGCAUUUCACCCACCAAAACCCCAACGCUUCUCUCUAAAACCACACUACAAAUCAAGUUAUCUUCAUAAUGCAAGAAGGGCAUAUCAAAGAUCCCAUUUUUAACAGAAAGCUUGGGAGAUAAAGCGAUAAGAAGAGGUUUUAAGCUAUUUUCAAGGUUUUUCACGAACUGGGUAUCUUUAUCUCUCUUGUGCGAAAUCAUGAGAGAAUCAGGAACAUUGAUGGGGUUUUUUCCGAUCAAUAUGAGCCGAGAGAUUCCAGGAGAGGAGAGGAGAAGCUGGAGAUGACCGGACUCGGUGGAGAAAAUCCAGUCUGAUUCGCGGUUUUCAGGGACAAAAAGAGCGGCGACAAUGAGCGAGUCGCUGGUUUGGAUGGGUGAAUCGAGAACGGCCACACGAAGAAGGUGGGUGUGGAGAGUAGGGUGAGGGACAGUGAAGGAGAGGAAGCGAGAGGGGAUUAUGGUUUCAAAGAUCGUAACGUCAAGAGCCAUGGAGUUUGUUUGUUUGAUUUGUUCUUGUUGCAGAACGAAGAGGGAAAAUGAUAGAAAAUUUGAAAUUGAUGGGAGCCCCUGUGCUAAUGCGCUCUUAAGAUAUUCAUGGGGUACGCAGAAACUAGUCAGCUGAACCUCAAAUAAGCUUCAAUUCAACUGAUUAAUGAUCAGCACCAAUAUGAUUUCAAAAUUCAGAGACUCAGAAGCUGCAGCCAACGAAGAAGACGACUAGGAUCUUUGACUUUUUCGAUCCUCAUGAACCUAGAAGGAGUGCAAGAGGAAGAAUGAUUUGGUUGCCAAUUUAUGUCAGCAGAAUUAUCCCAAAAUUAUCCCAAAAUAAACAUAAAUUAUCCCAAUUUAUGUUUCAGAUUUGAAUGGGUGAAAAUAGUUUCUGCAAAAUCGAUUUGGUGGGUAUCCAAAUCGAUUUGAAGGGGCUUAAUC
RNAcentral lists this unclassified non-coding RNA (6006 nucleotides) under Hevea brasiliensis (rubber tree). The record is from RNAcentral. Lineage: Eukaryota; Viridiplantae; Streptophyta; Magnoliopsida; Malpighiales; Euphorbiaceae.